Molecule: non-coding RNA, 24 nt
Filed under: Arabidopsis thaliana (thale cress)
Lineage: Eukaryota; Viridiplantae; Streptophyta; Magnoliopsida; Brassicales; Brassicaceae
Source: RNAcentral
UAUCCUGGCCUGCGUAGGUGAACU